Molecule: ribosomal RNA, 460 nt
Filed under: uncultured Sphingobacteriia bacterium
Lineage: Bacteria; Pseudomonadati; Bacteroidota; Sphingobacteriia
Description: bacterial SSU rRNA
Rfam family: Bacterial small subunit ribosomal RNA
Source: RNAcentral
CCUACGGGGGGCUGCAGUGGGGAAUAUUGGUCAAUGGGCGGAAGCCUGAACCAGCCAUGCCGCGUGCAGGAUGAAUGCCCUAUGGGUUGUAAACUGCUUUUAUAUGGGGAGAAAUGAUUUGAUUUAUCGAAUUUUGACGGUACCAUAAGAAUAAGGAUCGGCUAACUACGUGCCAGCAGCCGCGGUAAUACGUAGGAUCCGAGCGUUGUCCGGAUUUAUUGGGUUUAAAGGGUGCGUAGGCGGAAAGAUAAGUCAGUGGUGAAAGCCGGUCGCUCAACGAUCGAAUUGCCAUUGAUACUGUUUUUCUAGAAUACGGUUGAGGUAGGCGGAAUGUGUAGUGUAGCGGUGAAAUGCAUAGAUAUUACACAGAACUCCGAUUGCGAAGGCAGCUUACUAAGCCGUUAUUGACGCUGAGGCACGAAAGCGUGGGGAUCAAACAGGAUUAGAUACCCUAGUAGUC